This 253-nucleotide ribosomal RNA is filed under the name uncultured bacterium. RNAcentral describes it as "partial 16S ribosomal RNA". It matches the Rfam family "Bacterial small subunit ribosomal RNA", at positions 524 to 776 of the family's 1533-position model. The record is from RNAcentral.
UACGUAGGGUGCGAGCGUUGUCCGGAAUUAUUGGGCGUAAAGGGCUCGUAGGCGGUUUGUCGCGUCGGGAGUGAAAACAUCGGGCUUAACUCAAUGCUUGCUUUCGAUACGGGCAGACUUGAGGUAUGCAGGGGAGAAUGGAAUUCCUGGUGUAGCGGUGAAAUGCGCAGAUAUCAGGAGGAACACCGGUGGCGAAGGCGGUUCUCUGGGCAUUACCUGACGCUGAGGAGCGAAAGUGUGGGGAGCGAACAGG